This 576-nucleotide ribosomal RNA is filed under the name Trichoderma harzianum. Its description in RNAcentral is "eukaryotic LSU rRNA". The stretch from base 202 to 355 matches the Rfam family "5.8S ribosomal RNA". The record is from RNAcentral. Lineage: Eukaryota; Fungi; Ascomycota; Sordariomycetes; Hypocreales; Hypocreaceae.
CCGAGUUUACAACUCCCAAACCCAAUGUGAACGUUACCAAACUGUUGCCUCGGCGGGAUCUCUGCCCCGGGUGCGUCGCAGCCCCGGACCAAGGCGCCCGCCGGAGGACCAACCAAAACUCUUAUUGUAUACCCCCUCGCGGGUUUUUUUAUAAUCUGAGCCUUCUCGGCGCCUCUCGUAGGCGUUUCGAAAAUGAAUCAAAACUUUCAACAACGGAUCUCUUGGUUCUGGCAUCGAUGAAGAACGCAGCGAAAUGCGAUAAGUAAUGUGAAUUGCAGAAUUCAGUGAAUCAUCGAAUCUUUGAACGCACAUUGCGCCCGCCAGUAUUCUGGCGGGCAUGCCUGUCCGAGCGUCAUUUCAACCCUCGAACCCCUCCGGGGGGUCGGCGUUGGGGAUCGGCCCUGCCUUGGCGGUGGCCGUCUCCGAAAUACAGUGGCGGUCUCGCCGCAGCCUCUCCUGCGCAGUAGUUUGCACACUCGCAUCGGGAGCGCGGCGCGUCCACAGCCGUUAAACACCCAACUUCUGAAAUGUUGACCUCGGAUCAGGUAGGAAUACCCGCUGAACUUAAGCAUAUAA